CACGCUCGGAGUGCCCUCUCACAUCCAUCUCACCCCUUUGUGCAUCACCGCGUGGGGCCCUUCUCUUUCCGGAGAGGGGGGUUCACGUUUUUACAAGAACGAACCAUUAAUGCAUGUGUAGAAUGUCUUACAUUUUGCGGUCACACGCAAUCAAUACAACUUUCAACAACGGAUCUCUUGGCUCUCGCAUCGAUGAAGAACGCAGCGAAAUGCGAUACGUAAUGUGAAUUGCAGAAUUCAGUGAAUCAUCGAAUCUUUGAACGCACCUUGCACCCCUUGGUAUUCCGAGGGGUGCACCCGUUUGAGUGUCGUGAACACCCUCAACCUUCUUGGUUUAUCGACCAGGAAGGCUUGGACUUUGGACGUUGCUGGCCUCGUUCGAAGCCAGCUCCUCCUAAAUGAAUUGGUGGGGUCUGUUGUGCCGAUCCUCGACGUGAUAAGUACGCUUCUACGUCUUGGCGUUGGCCCGGAAUCCUGCUUCCAAUCGUCUUUGAAUGGAGACAAACGCUUUUAUAAACCUUGACCUCAAAUCGGGUGAGACUACCCGCUGAACUUAAGCAUAUCAAUAAGCGGAGGAAAAGAAACUAACAAGGAUUCCCCUAGUAACUGCGAGUGAAGCGGGAAAAGCUCAAA
This 633-nucleotide ribosomal RNA is filed under the name uncultured fungus. Its description in RNAcentral is "eukaryotic LSU rRNA". The stretch from base 158 to 311 matches the Rfam family "5.8S ribosomal RNA". Lineage: Eukaryota; Fungi. The record is from RNAcentral.